AGUGAACGCUGGCGGUAGGCCUAACACAUGCGAGUCGAACGGCAGCACAGUAAGAGCUUGCUCUUACGGGUGGCGAGUGGCGGACGGGUGAGGCAUACAUCGGAAUCUACUUUUUCGUGGGGGAUAACGUAGGGAAACUUACGCUAAUACCGCAUACGACCUACGGGUGAAAGCAGGAGAUCUUCGGACCUUUCGCGAUUGAAUGAGCCGAUGUCGGAUUAGCUAGUUGGCGGGGUAAGGGCCCACCAAGGCGACGAUCCGUAGCUGGUCUGAGAGGAUGAUCGGCCACACUGGAACUGAGACACGGUCCAGACUCCUACGGGAGGCAGCAGUGGGGAAUAUUGGACAAUGGGCGCAAGCCUGAUCCAGCCAUACCGCGAGGGUGAAGAAGGCCUUCGGGUUGUAAAGCCCUUUUGUUGGGAAAGAAAAGCAGCAGGUUAAUACCCCGCUGUUCUGACGGUACCCAAAGAAUAAGCACCGGCUAACUUCGUG
RNAcentral lists this ribosomal RNA (492 nucleotides) under uncultured bacterium. Its description in RNAcentral is "partial 16S ribosomal RNA". It matches the Rfam family "Bacterial small subunit ribosomal RNA", at positions 29 to 507 of the family's 1533-position model. The record is from RNAcentral.